RNAcentral lists this ribosomal RNA (291 nucleotides) under Candidatus Omnitrophota bacterium. RNAcentral's name for it is "Candidatus Omnitrophica bacterium partial 16S ribosomal RNA". It matches the Rfam family "Bacterial small subunit ribosomal RNA", at positions 1 to 257 of the family's 1533-position model. Lineage: Bacteria; Pseudomonadati; Candidatus Omnitrophota. The record is from RNAcentral.
UUUUUGGAGAGUUUGAUUCUGGCUCAGAACGAACGUUGGCGGCGUGGAUAAGGCAUGCAAGUCGAACGAUCUUAUUGCAUCUCAAAGCCGCAAGGCCGAGAGAUUCGAUUUGAUAGUGGCAAAAGGGUGAGUAACACGUGGAUAAUUUACCUUCGAGCGUGGGAUAACAUUCCGAAAGGGGUGCUAAUACCGCAUAAGACCACGAUCCUGCAUGGGAUUGAGGUCAAAGGUGGGGACCGCAAGGCCUAUCACUUGAAGAUGAGUCCGCGUUCUAUCAGCUUGUUGGUAGGG